GAAAUUCAUUCAGAUAUUUUUGUCGUACCAGUUAGAAUAUUGUGAAACCUAUAAAAGUAAGUCCUCUUCAUCUAAAACUCUCUCUUUCUAUAUAUGAAUUCGCAUAGGCAAAAAUCAAAAUUUUCAUUUUUCAAUUUCUUUUGAUUUUAUCAAUUCCAUAAUUGAGUCCAACAAUUAAUUCAUUAUCAUUCCAUUGAUUUUGAACAAAUAUUCAGUAUUAUGUUAAGUUUUUUAUCAAAUCAUGCUGACCAAGUUUUUUAUCAACAUUAUGCUCUACAAUACCAAUUAAAAUAUUACUUUUGCCCCUCAGAAAUUCAUUCAGAUAUUUUUUUGUCGUACCAGUUAGAAUAUUGUGAAACCUAUAAAAGUAAGUCCUCUUCAUCUAAAACUCUCUCUUUCUAUAUAUGAAUUAAUGAAGAUGAAAUCGCGGUCAGCAAGGAAACCCCAGAUGGUCUCUAACCCGGAAAUGGACGCGGCCUUGCAGCUGAUUCAACUCAGCGGCGAUUCCGAUUACAGCAAAGAAAACCACGGCGGUCACGCCACCAAAUCGGUGGAGCAAAACCGAGAGGAAAGCGUGGGUGAUUCUAAUGAAAUUUCCUCCACCUUUAUCAGAGAACUGAAGACUUGUCCCAAAAGAAAAAGGAGAUAUAGAUCAAUUGAUGAUCUAUACAGCGUUACGAAGCCCGUGAUCAUCAAGAAGCGUGGUAAGAAAAUCAGGAAUUGAAAUAUGCCCCUUUCAUCUUUUGAAGACCAAGAGAUAAUUUCCUCCUUUUUUUCCCCUAUUAGAUAUGUGCUGUAAAUAAAUGUACAGAAGAUGAACAAACUGGAAAAAUAAACUAUAAAGUUAGCCAACAAGCUCUAAUUGUUUGUGCUAUUUCUUUUUUUCCUUUCUGCCGGGAAACAUUGAAGAGUUUUUUUUCUAAAUUAUCAUAAUCGGCACGUCGCAAAGUUGGUUUUUU
Molecule: long non-coding RNA, 959 nt
Filed under: Olea europaea (common olive)
Lineage: Eukaryota; Viridiplantae; Streptophyta; Magnoliopsida; Lamiales; Oleaceae
Description: long non-coding RNA (OEUR_LNC013955)
Source: RNAcentral